UGAAUUUCGGGGUCAAAGGUUGGGUCAUGCCUUGGUAUGUACUUGAAACUCGGUCUGACUCCUUCUAAAGAACCAUAAUGUCAUUCAUUUGAUGUUAUGGGGAAUUAGGACUGUUACCUUGAAAAAAUUAGAGUGUUUAAAGCAGGCUUACGCUUGAAUACAUUAGCAUGGAAUAAUGAAAUAGGACAUCAGAUUCUAUUUUGUUGGUUUCUAGGAUCGAUGUAAUGAUUAACAGGGAUAGUUGGGGGCAUUAGUAUUCAAUUGUCAGAGGUGAAAUUCUUGGAUUUAUUGAAGACUAACUACUGCGAAAGCAUUUGCCAAGGAUGUUUUCAUUAAUCAAGAACGAAAGUUAGGGGAUCGAAGACGAUCAGAUACC
RNAcentral lists this ribosomal RNA (376 nucleotides) under uncultured Glomus. RNAcentral describes it as "SSU rRNA". It matches the Rfam family "Eukaryotic small subunit ribosomal RNA", at positions 635 to 1016 of the family's 1831-position model. Lineage: Eukaryota; Fungi; Glomeromycota; Glomeromycetes; Glomerales; Glomeraceae. The record is from RNAcentral.